Molecule: unclassified non-coding RNA, 310 nt
Filed under: plant metagenome
Description: partial contains 5.8S ribosomal RNA, internal transcribed spacer 2, and large subunit ribosomal RNA
Rfam family: 5.8S ribosomal RNA (bases 1-105)
Source: RNAcentral
GAAAUGCGAUAAGUAGUGUGAAUUGCAGAAUUCAGUGAAUCAUCGAAUCUUUGAACGCACAUUGCGCCCCUUGGUAUUCCAUGGGGCAUGCCUGUUCGAGCGUCAUUUGUACCCUCAAGCUCUGCUUGGUGUUGGGUGUUUGUCCCCGUCUCCGCGCGUGGACUCGCCCCAAAGUGAUUGGCAGCCGGCGUACUGGUCCCGGAGCGCAGCACAUGUCGCGCAAACGAGUGCCUUGGUACGGCGGCGUCCAUAAGCCCCUCUCUCACGCUCUUGACCUCGGAUCAGGUAGGGAUACUCGCUGAACUCAGGC